This 21-nucleotide unclassified non-coding RNA is filed under the name Mus musculus (house mouse). Its description in RNAcentral is "oocyte_clustered_small_RNA7822". The record is from RNAcentral. Lineage: Eukaryota; Metazoa; Chordata; Mammalia; Rodentia; Muridae.
UGCUCUGCAGGCAAGCUCUCC